RNAcentral lists this ribosomal RNA (684 nucleotides) under uncultured Lachnospiraceae bacterium. RNAcentral's name for it is "bacterial SSU rRNA". It matches the Rfam family "Bacterial small subunit ribosomal RNA", at positions 67 to 753 of the family's 1533-position model. Lineage: Bacteria; Bacillati; Bacillota; Clostridia; Lachnospirales; Lachnospiraceae. The record is from RNAcentral.
CUGUUUUGAAAGAUUUCUUCGGAAUGAAUUUAAUUUAGUUUAGUGGCGGACGGGUGAGUAACGCGUGAGUAACCUGCCUUCAAGAGGGGGAUAACAUUCUGAAAAGAAUGCUAAUACCGCAUGACAUAUCGGAACCACAUGGUUCUGAUAUCAAAGAUUUUAUCGCUUGAAGAUGGACUCGCGUCCGAUUAGUUAGUUGGUGAGGUAACGGCUCACCAAGACCGCGAUCGGUAGCCGGACUGAGAGGUUGAACGGCCACAUUGGGACUGAGACACGGCCCAGACUCCUACGGGAGGCAGCAGUGGGGGAUAUUGCGCAAUGGGGGCAACCCUGACGCAGCAACGCCGCGUGAAGGAUGAAGGUUUUCGGAUUGUAAACUUCUUUUAUUAAGGACGAAAAAUGACGGUACUUAAUGAAUAAGCUCCGGCUAACUACGUGCCAGCAGCCGCGGUAAUACGUAGGGAGCAAGCGUUGUCCGGAUUUACUGGGUGUAAAGGGUGCGUAGGCGGCUUUGCAAGUCAGAUGUGAAAUCUAUGGGCUCAACCCAUAAACUGCAUUUGAAACUGUAGAGCUUGAGUGAAGUAGAGGCAGGCGGAAUUCCCCGUGUAGCGGUGAAAUGCGUAGAGAUGGGGAGGAACACCAGUGGCGAAGGCGGCCUGCUGGGCUUUAACUGACGCUGAGGCA